This 102-nucleotide microRNA precursor is filed under the name Pelobates cultripes (western spadefoot toad). The record is from RNAcentral. Lineage: Eukaryota; Metazoa; Chordata; Amphibia; Anura; Pelobatidae.
CGGCACUCCAGAUGCUUUGGACUACACUUCCCAUGAUGCUUUGCCAGCACUAUAGCUGUAAGAGCAUUAUGGGGGAUGAAGUCCAUAACAUCUGGGGUGCCG